RNAcentral lists this ribosomal RNA (510 nucleotides) under cf. Petaloclymene sp. GK-2017. RNAcentral's name for it is "partial 16S ribosomal RNA". It matches the Rfam family "Bacterial large subunit ribosomal RNA", at positions 1817 to 2597 of the family's 2925-position model. The record is from RNAcentral. Lineage: Eukaryota; Metazoa; Annelida; Polychaeta; Maldanidae.
AGCGUCCUGUACUAUUUAUAGGAGGUGAAACCUGCCCAGUGACUUACGAGUUUAACGGCCGCGGUACCCUGACCGUGCUAAGGUAGCAUAUAAUAUGCCCUUUAAUUGGGGGCUAGUAUGAAUGGACAAACGAGGGCUGAGCUGUCUCUUUUUUACUAAAAUAAAUUUUCAUUUGGGUGAAAAGACCCAAAUUCUGUUAAAAGACAAAAAGACCCCGUAGAGCUUUAUUAUAAAACUAAUAAGAAAAGAAAUAAAAUGAUCUUUACUUAUAAGUCUAACAAUUUUGCUGGGGCGGCAAAGGAGCAAUAAAACCUCCUUUUCAUUUAUAGGAUUUCAAUCCUCUAUAUGAUCCUUUUAAAGAUUAUAGAAAAAAGUUACCUCGGGGAUAACAGGCUUAUAUUUCUCAAGAGUACAAAUCGAAAGAAAUGUUUGGCACCUCGAUGUUGGCUUAGGGGACCCUUAGGGUAGCAGAAGCUCUAAAUGGCAGGUUUGUUCAACCUUUAAACCCCU